This 304-nucleotide long non-coding RNA is filed under the name Rosa chinensis. Its description in RNAcentral is "sRNA RchiOBHm_Chr1g0377141". The record is from RNAcentral. Lineage: Eukaryota; Viridiplantae; Streptophyta; Magnoliopsida; Rosales; Rosaceae.
CUCUCAGUCUCUCAUUCGAUCAGAUUCAGAGACUCUCUCAGUCUCUCACUCUCUCAGUCAGUCAGUCUCCAUCCUAGAUCACUCUCUCAUUCUCUCAGUCUCCACUCUCUCAGGCGCUCAGCCCAGACGUUAGCGACGAACCCAGACGAGCGAGCGAGACGACGAACCCAGAACGAGAGAGCGAGACGAACCCAGACGAGCGAGCGAGACGACGAACCCAGAACGAGAGAGCGAGACGAACCCAGAACGAGCGAGCGAGACGAACCGUUGCAGGCGAGACGAACCCAGAAACAUCUCGUCUUCG